GAUGAACGCUGGCGGCGUGCCUAAUACAUGCAAGUCGAACGCACAGCGAAAGGUGCUUGCACCUUUCAAGUGAGUGGCGAACGGGUGAGUAACACGUGGAUAACCUACCUCAAGGUUGGGGAUAACAUUUGGAAACAGAUGCUAAUACCGAAUAAAACUUCGUAUCGCAUGAUACAAGGUUAAAAGGCGCUACGGCGUCACCUAGAGAUGGAUCCGCGGUGCAUUAGUUAGUGGUGGGUAAAGGCCUACCAAGACAAUGAUGCAUAGCCGAGUUGAGAGACUGAUCGG
RNAcentral lists this ribosomal RNA (288 nucleotides) under uncultured bacterium. RNAcentral describes it as "partial 16S ribosomal RNA". It matches the Rfam family "Bacterial small subunit ribosomal RNA", at positions 28 to 307 of the family's 1533-position model. The record is from RNAcentral.